CUAAGCACACUGUUGGUUAUGUGUGCCCAAGCAUUGAGGCAGUCAAAGUAGGCAAAUCCGCUUUGAUAAUGCUGGGAUGUGAUGGGGAGCGAAAUUUAGUAGCGAAGUAGCUGAUUUCACACUGUCAAGAAAAGUCUCUAUCGAGGUUAAAGGUACCCGUACCGCAAACCGACACAGGUGGGUGAGGAGAGUAUCCUAAGGCCAGCGAGAGAACUGUUGUUAAGGAACUCGGCAAAAUGACCCCGUAACUUAGGGAUAAGGGGUGCCACCAUCAGGUGGCCGCAGAGAAUAGGCCCAAGCGACUGUUUACCAAAAACAUAGGUUUCUGCUAAGUCGCAAGACGAUGUAUAGGAGCUGACGCCUGCCCGGUGCUGGAAGGUUAAGGGGAUCUGUUAGAGCAAUCGAAGCAGUGAACUUAAGCCCCAGUAAACGGCGGCCGUAACUAUAACGGUCCUAAGGUAGCGAAAUUCCUUGUCGGGUAAGUUCCGACCCGCACGAAAGGCGUAACGAUUUGGGCACUGUCUCAACAACAGACUCGGUGAAAUUGUAAUUCCGGUGAAGAUGCCGGAUACCUGCGACAGGACGGAAAGACCCCAUGGAGCUUUACUGUAGCUUGACAUUGGGUCUUGGUACUACAUGUACAGGAUAGGUGGGAGGCUUUGAAACCAGGACGCCAGUUUUGGCGGAGCCAUCCUUGGGAUACCACCCUUGUAGUACUGGGACUCUAACCAUAGGCCAUGAAUCUGGUCUUGGGACACUGUCAGGUGGGCAGUUUGACUGGGGCGGUCGCCUCCCAAAAGGUAACGGAGGCGCUCAAAGGUUCUCUCAGUACGGUCGGAAAUCGUACGUAGAGUGUAAAGGCAAAAGAGAGCUUGAUUGCAAGACAUACAGGUCGAGCAAGGAUGAAAAUCGGACUUAGUGAUCCGGUGGUUCUGCGUGGAAGGGCCAUCGCUCAACGGAUAAAAGCUACCCUGGGGAUAACAGGCUUAUCUCCCCCAAGAGUCCACAUCGACGGGGAGGUUUGGCACCUCGAUGUCGGCUCAUCACAUCCUGGGGCUGUAGUAGGUCCCAAGGGUUGGGCUGUUCGCCCAUUAAAGUGGUACGCGAGCUGGGUUCAGAACGUCGUGAGACAGUUCGGUCCCUAUCCGUCGCA
RNAcentral lists this ribosomal RNA (1153 nucleotides) under Clostridioides difficile. RNAcentral describes it as "partial 23S ribosomal RNA". It matches the Rfam family "Bacterial large subunit ribosomal RNA", at positions 1487 to 2649 of the family's 2925-position model. Lineage: Bacteria; Bacillati; Bacillota; Clostridia; Peptostreptococcales; Peptostreptococcaceae. The record is from RNAcentral.